This 159-nucleotide ribosomal RNA is filed under the name Proteus mirabilis. Its description in RNAcentral is "partial 16S ribosomal RNA". It matches the Rfam family "Bacterial small subunit ribosomal RNA", at positions 1382 to 1533 of the family's 1533-position model. Lineage: Bacteria; Pseudomonadati; Pseudomonadota; Gammaproteobacteria; Enterobacterales; Morganellaceae. The record is from RNAcentral.
UGUACACACCGCCCGUCACACCACGAGAGUUUGUAACACCCGAAGCCGGUGGAGUAACCUUUUGGAGCUAGCCGUCGAAGGUGGGACAAAUGAUUGGGGUGAAGUCGUAACAAGGUAGCCGUAUCGGAAGGUGCGGCUGGAUCACCUCCUUUCUAAGGA